RNAcentral lists this ribosomal RNA (462 nucleotides) under uncultured bacterium. RNAcentral describes it as "partial 16S ribosomal RNA". It matches the Rfam family "Bacterial small subunit ribosomal RNA", at positions 28 to 507 of the family's 1533-position model. The record is from RNAcentral.
GACGAACGCUGGCGGCGUGCUUAACACAUGCAAGUCGAACGGUGAACCUCUUCGGAGGGAUCAGUGGCGAACGGGUGAGUAACACGUGGGCAACCUGCCCCCGGCUCUGGGAUAACUCCAAGAAAUUGGGGCUAAUACCGGAUGUUCACCGCUUCCCGCAUGGGUGGUGGUGGAAAGGGUUUCCGGCUGGGGAUGGGCCCGCGGCCUAUCAGCUUGUUGGUGGGGUAGUGGCCUACCAAGGCGACGACGGGUAGCCGGCCUGAGAGGGUGACCGGCCACACUGGGACUGAGACACGGCCCAGACUCCUACGGGAGGCAGCAGUGGGGAAUAUUGCGCAAUGGGCGGAAGCCUGACGCAGCGACGCCGCGUGGGGGAUGACGGCCUUCGGGUUGUAAACCUCUUUCAGCAGGGACGAAGCGCAAGUGACGGUAAUGGGUAAAGAAGCACCGGCUAACUACGUG